This 482-nucleotide ribosomal RNA is filed under the name uncultured bacterium. RNAcentral describes it as "partial 16S ribosomal RNA". It matches the Rfam family "Bacterial small subunit ribosomal RNA", at positions 28 to 507 of the family's 1533-position model. The record is from RNAcentral.
GAUGAACGCUGGCGGCGUGCCUAAUACAUGCAAGUCGAACGCUUCACUUCGGUGAAGCGUGGCGAACGGGUGAGUAAUACAUAAGUAACCUGGCAUCUACAGGGGGAUAACUGAUGGAAACGUCAGCUAAGACCGCAUAGGUGUAGAGAUCGCAUGAACUCUAUAUGAAAAGUGCUACGGGACUGGUAGAUGAUGGACUUAUGGCGCAUUAGCUUGUUGGUAGGGUAACGGCCUACCAAGGCGACGAUGCGUAGCCGACCUGAGAGGGUGACCGGCCACACUGGGACUGAGACACGGCCCAGACUCCUACGGGAGGCAGCAGUAGGGAAUUUUCGGCAAUGGGGGAAACCCUGACCGAGCAACGCCGCGUGAAGGAAGAAGGAAUUCGUUAUGUAAACUUCUGUCAUAGAGGAAGAACGGUGGAUAUAGGGAAUGAUAUCCAAGUGACGGUACUCUAUAAGAAAGCCACGGCUAACUACGUG